This 395-nucleotide long non-coding RNA is filed under the name Trifolium pratense (red clover). Its description in RNAcentral is "long non-coding RNA (TPRA_LNC002526)". Lineage: Eukaryota; Viridiplantae; Streptophyta; Magnoliopsida; Fabales; Fabaceae. The record is from RNAcentral.
UUUGCCACAGUUUUAAACUGUUUGUUAGCAACUUUCAAAGUACCCUUUGAAAUAUAAUAAACCUUUCCCAUAACAAAUUUGUCAAAAAACUUCCUAGCAGCAUCAUUAAACAUAGUUGCUUGAAUCUGAGUACCCUGAAAACAUUUCAAAACAAGAACAAAAACACAUCAUUCCCCAAACUUGAAAAAAACUACACAACAUUAAAAAAUAUCAAACAUGUUUGUUCCUUACAUCUUCAUCAGUCAAUUCAACAUUGAAUACACAACCUUCUCCUCUAGCAUUCUUAUAGGUACGCAUUGUUCCUUUGCUGGUAACACUGACCUUGAUUGUCCAACCACCCAUAUAAGGAUUCAAAGAAACAAGAGGACGCACCCUACGCGUCAUAGCCAGUCUCG